AACGAACGCUGGCGGCAUGCCUAACACAUGCAAGUCGAACGAUGGUCUUCGGAUCAUAGUGGCGCACGGGUGCGUAACGCGUGGGAAUCUGCCCUUGGGUUCGGAAUAACAGUUGGAAACGACUGCUAAUACCGGAUGAUGUCGAUAAGACCAAAGAUUUAUCGCCCGAGGAUGAGCCCGCGUCGGAUUAGCUAGUUGGUGGGGUAAAGGCCUACCAAGGCGACGAUCCGUAGCUGGUCUGAGAGGAUGAUCAGCCACACUGGGACUGAGACACGGCCCAGACUCCUACGGGAGGCAGCAGUGGGGAAUAUUGGACAAUGGGCGCAAGCCUGAUCCAGCAAUGUCGCGUGAGUGAUGAAGGCCUUAGGGUUGUAAAGCUCUUUUACCCGGGAAGAUAAUGACUGUACCGGGAGAAUAAGCCCCGGCUAACUCCGUG
Molecule: ribosomal RNA, 436 nt
Filed under: uncultured bacterium
Lineage: Bacteria
Description: partial 16S ribosomal RNA
Rfam family: Bacterial small subunit ribosomal RNA
Source: RNAcentral